This 319-nucleotide ribosomal RNA is filed under the name uncultured fungus. RNAcentral describes it as "eukaryotic LSU rRNA". The stretch from base 1 to 52 matches the Rfam family "5.8S ribosomal RNA", at positions 103 to 154 of the family's 154-position model. Lineage: Eukaryota; Fungi. The record is from RNAcentral.
AACGCACCUUGCGCUCUUUGGUAUUCCGAAGAGCAUGCCUGUUUGAGUGUCAUGGAAUUCUCAAAAACAUAAAUAAAAGAAAAGCUUUUACCGGCAGAUUUUUUUGUUUUGUUUUUGGACUUGGAGGUUGUGUCGGCUACUAGCUUUAGUAAAGACUCCUCUGAAACGCAUUAGUAUGAACCUUACGGAUCACUUAUCAGUGUGAUAAUUAUCUACGCCUGCAUGCCGUGUCUGUCGAGUGCUCGCUCACAGCCGUCCCUGGCGGACAACUUCAACCAAUCGUGACCUCAAAUCAGGUAGGACUACCCGCUGAACUUAA